This 432-nucleotide ribosomal RNA is filed under the name Vespericola columbiana. RNAcentral's name for it is "partial large subunit ribosomal RNA". It matches the Rfam family "Bacterial large subunit ribosomal RNA", at positions 1809 to 2595 of the family's 2925-position model. The record is from RNAcentral. Lineage: Eukaryota; Metazoa; Mollusca; Gastropoda; Stylommatophora; Polygyridae.
AAAAACAUAACUAUAUGUGAUUAUAUAUAGCAAUUUCUGCUCAAUGAAGACUUAAAUAGCCGCAGUACUUUGACUGUGCAAAGGUAGCAUAAUCAAUUGUCUUAUAACUGAAGUCUGGAAUGAACGAAUAUAUGGGGGGGGACUGUUUCCUGGGGAUAUGGGGAAUUUAUUUAAAAAGUGCAAAUACUUUUAGAGACAUAUUAGACGAGAAGACCCUAGAAAUUUUUGUAGAACCAAAUAUCCUUGUAAAUAUUUUGUUGGGGCGACAGGGUUACAGGUAACUUACUUUAAUUAACUUGCAUAGGAGUGUUAGGAAAGAUAAAAUUACUCUAGGGAUAACAGCAUAAUACAUUAAAGCUUGUGACCUCGAUGUUGGAUUAGGAAAGAUGGGGGUUUAGAAGAAUCCUGUCUGUGCUCUGUUCGAGCAAAUUU